This 496-nucleotide ribosomal RNA is filed under the name uncultured bacterium. Its description in RNAcentral is "partial 16S ribosomal RNA". It matches the Rfam family "Bacterial small subunit ribosomal RNA", at positions 28 to 506 of the family's 1533-position model. The record is from RNAcentral.
GAUGAACGCUGGCGGCGUGCCUAAUACAUGCAAGUCGAGCGAACAGACGAGGAGCUUGCUCCUCUGACGUUAGCGGCGGACGGGUGAGUAACACGUGGAUAACCUACCUAUAAGACUGGGAUAACUUCGGGAAACCGGAGCUAAUACCGGAUAAUAUAUUGAACCGCAUGGUUCAAUAGUGAAAGACGGUUUUGCUGUCACUUAUAGAUGGAUCCGCGCCGCAUUAGCUAGUUGGUAAGGUAACGGCUUACCAAGGCAACGAUGCGUAGCCGACCUGAGAGGGUGAUCGGCCACACGUGAACUGAGACACGGUCCAGACUCCUACGGGAGGCAGCAGUAGGGAAUCUUCCGCAAUGGGCGAAAGCUUGACGGAGCAACGCCGCGUGAGUGAUGAAGGUCUUCGGAUCGUAAAACUCUGUUAUUAGGGAAGAACAAAUGUGUAAGUAACUAUGCACGUCUUGACGGUACCUAAUCAGAAAGCCACGGCUAACUACGU